GCCCUUCUCUCUUUCUUCGUUCAAAGCACGCGAGAAGGGGAGCGACUUCGGAGUUGGUACUAAUGCCCUCCAGCUAGGGUUUUGCUGGCAAUUUGUGAUCCUUGGAUUGAGUCUGUUUUUGCGGAGGGAGAGAAGGAUUGGCUAUGAAUCUUUAUUUAAGGCUGUCGAGAGUCGCUCCGUGUUGAUAGAGAGAGCUUGGGACUGAUCCACUAUGCAAACGGAAGCUAGAGUUGGAGUGGUGGUGGAAGGAGGGCAGAGAGCUCUCAAUUCGGGUCAUGGAGGGGUCGCCGUCGAUGGGACUGCACUCAAAUUGGCGCAGCAGCAGAAGUCAUUGCAUCAGCAGUCGCAGAUAGGGACAAUACCGCAGCUUCUUGCUGGAGGAAUCGCCGGUGCUCUUAGCAAGACCUGUACGGCGCCGCUUGCUCGCCUCACUAUACUAUUUCAGGUGCAAGGCAUGCACUCUGAUGUUGCAACAUUGACGAAGGCUAGCAUAUGGCAGGAGGCUUCACGAAUUAUUGGUGAAGAAGGAUUUAGAGCCUUCUGGAAAGGGAAUCUGGUUACUAUUGCUCACCGCCUGCCUUAUUCUUCUGUCAGCUUUUAUGCAUAUGAGCGUUACAAGAAUAUAUUGCAUUUGGUCCCCGGGCUAGAAAGUCAUAAAAGAAAUACUAGUGCUGACCUUGGUGUACAUUUUGUAGCUGGAGGUUUGGCAGGACUAACUGCUGCAUCUGCUACAUAUCCAUUGGAUCUUGUAAGGACACGCCUUGCAGCACAGACAAAAGUGAUCUAUUACAGAGGUAUUGGUCAUACUCUACAAACCAUUGUCAGAGAAGAAGGUAUCUGGGGGCUUUAUAAAGGGCUUGGAGCAACAUUGUUGGGAGUUGGGCCCAGUAUAGCCAUCAACUUUUCAGUUUAUGAGACCUUGAGAUCUUCUUGGCAUUCUCAAAGGCCCAAUGAUUCAACUGUCCUGGUCAGUCUUACUUGUGGUAGUCUUUCGGGCAUUGCAUCAUCAACAGAGAAACAGGAUGAGGUGCAGGAUCUGCACUAAUCUAACCAGACUGACCUCUAGAGCCAGAGACUCAGACUGGAGUUGUUUUUUAUGUGGCAUUUGAGAAUGCUAGGUGGCACUACACUCAGGUGAACCAACAUUGCUCUCUCGGUUAUCAAAAUUGAGAGGUGUCCUCUUUGAGGUAUGCUUCUCACUUAGGCUUCCUUUGCCAACUGCUUACUGAUGGGUACCAGAAUCCUUCAAGCGACGUAGGUACAUUUAUGAUGUGUUUAGUCAAAUAUUCUCUCUUCUCAUUUAUUGGCAACUGAGAUCAGUAAGAAAAGGUUCAAAUAGUGAAGCAAAUCCACAGAUGAAGGUUAAAGUGUAUCCUCACAACCAGGUUUUGUUCCUAGGUGAGUAAAUAGCACAAAUGUCAAACCAAAAGUGGGGAAAUAAAUGAUGCCACACAUUUGUAGACCUUAAAAGUACUUUGGAAUCUUGUGGCCCUAUCCAUGAAUUGUAUCAAAAUAGUUCCUGCAUAUAUGCUCAUCGCAACCCCACCUCACCACCACCCCCAGUAGAAAGAAAAAUGGGAAGAGAAAGCAAGGAAAAAAUUGUAUCAGAACAACCCCCCUCCUUCUGUCACAGUUGACCUAGGGUAGCUGAAGCAUUAUGUUUGGUUUUUUUUUUUUUUUUUUUUUUUUUUUAAGACCAAAACAUCCAGUUGUUCAACCAGAAGUGUCCUGUCUUAUUUUGAUAUUUUUAUUUUUUGAGACGGCAAGUGUCUCUUAUAUGACACUGUUAUUGUCGGAUUUCCAAAUAAAACAUGCUUUUAUGCUCAUACAUGACUUUUCUGCUGACUCA
Molecule: RNA transcript, 1849 nt
Organism: Vitis riparia (riverbank grape)
Lineage: Eukaryota; Viridiplantae; Streptophyta; Magnoliopsida; Vitales; Vitaceae
Gene name: mitochondrial substrate carrier family protein B-like
Exons: 9
Source: RefSeq, a predicted model, not a curated record